RNAcentral lists this ribosomal RNA (510 nucleotides) under Salmonella enterica. RNAcentral's name for it is "partial 23S ribosomal RNA". It matches the Rfam family "Bacterial large subunit ribosomal RNA", at positions 1134 to 1643 of the family's 2925-position model. Lineage: Bacteria; Pseudomonadati; Pseudomonadota; Gammaproteobacteria; Enterobacterales; Enterobacteriaceae. RNAcentral also lists the same sequence under 5 other names. The record is from RNAcentral.
GUAAUAGCUCACUGGUCGAGUCGGCCUGCGCGGAAGAUGUAACGGGGCUAAACCAUGCACCGAAGCUGCGGCAGCGACGCUUAUGCGUUGUUGGGUAGGGGAGCGUUCUGUAAGCCUGUGAAGGUGGCCUGUGAGGGUUGCUGGAGGUAUCAGAAGUGCGAAUGCUGACAUAAGUAACGAUAAAGCGGGUGAAAAGCCCGCUCGCCGGAAGACCAAGGGUUCCUGUCCAACGUUAAUCGGGGCAGGGUGAGUCGACCCCUAAGGCGAGGCCGAAAGGCGUAGUCGAUGGGAAACGGGUUAAUAUUCCCGUACUUGGUGUUACUGCGAAGGGGGGACGGAGAAGGCUAUGUUGGCCGGGCGACGGUUGUCCCGGUUUAAGCGUGUAGGUGUGUGUUCCAGGUAAAUCCGGUUCACUUUAACACUGAGGCGUGAUGACGAGGCACUACGGUGCUGAAGCAACAAAUGCCCUGCUUCCAGGAAAAGCCUCUAAGCAUCAGGUAACAUCAAAUC